This 1950-nucleotide ribosomal RNA is filed under the name human gut metagenome. Its description in RNAcentral is "bacterial LSU rRNA". It matches the Rfam family "Bacterial large subunit ribosomal RNA", at positions 1 to 1977 of the family's 2925-position model. The record is from RNAcentral.
UUAAGCGACUAAGCGUACACGGUGGAUGCCCUGGCAGUCAGAGGCGAUGAAGGACGUGCUAAUCUGCGAAAAGCGCCGGCGAGGUGAUAUGAACCUUUGACCCGGCGAUGUCCGAAUGGGGAAACCCAGUGCAAUUCGUUGCACUAUCGUUAACUGAAUACAUAGGUUAACGAGGCGAACCGGGGGAACUGAAACAUCUAAGUACCCCGAGGAAAAGAAAUCAACCGAGAUUCCCCCAGUAGCGGCGAGCGAACGGGGAGCAGCCCAGAGUCUGAAUCAGCUUGUGUGUUAGUGGAAGCGUCUGGAAAGUCGCACGGUACAGGGUGACAGUCCCGUACACGAAAGCACACAGGCUGUGAACUCGAAGAGUAGGGCGGGACACGUGGUAUCCUGUCUGAAUAUGGGGGGACCAUCCUCCAAGGCUAAAUACUCCUGACUGACCGAUAGUGAACCAGUACCGUGAGGGAAAGGCGAAAAGAACCCCGGCGAGGGGAGUGAAAAAGAACCUGAAACCGUGUACGUACAAGCAGUGGGAGCACCUUCGUGGUGUGACUGCGUACCUUUUGUAUAAUGGGUCAGCGACUUAUAUUCUGUAGCAAGGUUAACCGUAUAGGGGAGCCGAAGGGAAACCGAGUCUUAACUGGGCGUUAAGUUGCAGGGUAUAGACCCGAAACCCGGUGAUCUAGCCAUGGGCAGGUUGAAGGUUGGGUAACACUAACUGGAGGACCGAACCGACUAAUGUUGAAAAAUUAGCGGAUGACUUGUGGCUGGGGGGGAAAGGCCAAUCAAACCGGGAGAUAGCUGGUUCUCCCCGAAAGCUAUUUAGGUAGCGCCUCGUGAACUCAUCUUCGGGGGUAGAGCACUGUUUCGGCUAGGGGGCCAUCCCGGCUUACCAACCCGAUGCAAACUACGAAUACCGAAGAAUGUUAUCACGGGAGACACACGGCGGGUGCUAACGUCCGUCGUGAAGAGGGAAACAACCCAGACCGCCAGCUAAGGUCCCAAAGUCAUGGUUAAGUGGGAAACGAUGUGGGAAGGCACAGACAGCCAGGAUGUUGGCUUAGAAGCAGCCAUCAUUUAAAGAAAGCGUAAUAGCUCACUGGUCGAGUCGGCCUGCGCGGAAGAUGUAACGGGGCUAAACCAUGCACCGAAGCUGCGGCAGCGACGCUUAUGCGUUGUUGGGUAGGGGAGCGUUCUGUAAGCCGUUGAAGGUGUGCUGUGAGGCAUGCUGGAGGUAUCAGAAGUGCGAAUGCUGACAUAAGUAACGAUAAAGCGGGUGAAAAGCCCGCUCGCCGGAAGACCAAGGGUUCCUGUCCAACGUUAAUCGGGGCAGGGUGAGUCGACCCCUAAGGCGAGGCCGAAAGGCGUAGUCGAUGGGAAACAGGUUAAUAUUCCUGUACUUGGUGUUACUGCGAAGGGGGGACGGAGAAGGCUAUGUUAGCCGGGCGACGGUUGUCCCGGUUUAAGCAUGUAGGCGGAGGUUCCAGGUAAAUCCGGUACCUUUUAACGCUGAGGUGUGAUGACGAGGCACUACGGUGCUGAAGUAACAAAUGCCCUGCUUCCAGGAAAAGCCUCUAAGCAUCAGGUAACAUCAAAUCGUACCCCAAACCGACACAGGUGGUCAGGUAGAGAAUACCAAGGCGCUUGAGAGAACUCGGGUGAAGGAACUAGGCAAAAUGGUGCCGUAACUUCGGGAGAAGGCACGCUGAUAUGUAGGUGAAGCCCCUGCGGGUGGAGCUGAAAUCAGUCGAAGAUACCAGCUGGCUGCAACUGUUUAUUAAAAACACAGCACUGUGCAAACACGAAAGUGGACGUAUACGGUGUGACGCCUGCCCGGUGCCGGAAGGUUAAUUGAUGGGGUUAGCGGUAACGCGAAGCUCUUGAUCGAAGCCCCGGUAAACGGCGGCCGUAACUAUAACGGUCCUAAGGUAGCGAAAUUCCUUGUCGGGU